UACGGUGGUUAUAGCGAGAGGGAAACACCCGGUUCCAUUCCGAACCCGGAAGUUAAGGCUCUUUGCGCUGAUGGUACUGCAUUGGUGACGGUGUGGGAGAGUAGGUUGCUGCCGGUU
Molecule: ribosomal RNA, 117 nt
Filed under: Rothia nasimurium
Lineage: Bacteria; Bacillati; Actinomycetota; Actinomycetes; Micrococcales; Micrococcaceae
Source: RNAcentral